RNAcentral lists this ribosomal RNA (486 nucleotides) under uncultured bacterium. RNAcentral's name for it is "partial 16S ribosomal RNA". It matches the Rfam family "Bacterial small subunit ribosomal RNA", at positions 30 to 507 of the family's 1533-position model. The record is from RNAcentral.
AUUGAACGCUGGCGGCAUGCCUUACACAUGCAAGUCGAACGGCAGCACGGGUGCUUGCACCUGGUGGCGAGUGGCGAACGGGUGAGUAAUACAUCGGAACAUGUCCUGUAGUGGGGGAUAGCCCGGCGAAAGCCGGAUUAAUACCGCAUACGACCUACGGAUGAAAGCGGGGGACCUUCGGGCCUCGCGCUAUAGGGUUGGCCGAUGGCUGAUUAGCUAGUUGGUGGGGUAAAGGCCUACCAAGGCGACGAUCAGUAGCUGGUCUGAGAGGACGACCAGCCACACUGGGACUGAGACACGGCCCAGACUCCUACGGGAGGCAGCAGUGGGGAAUUUUGGACAAUGGGCGAAAGCCUGAUCCAGCAAUGCCGCGUGUGUGAAGAAGGCCUUCGGGUUGUAAAGCACUUUUGUCCGGAAAGAAAUCCUUGGCUCUAAUACAGUCGGGGGAUGACGGUACCGGAAGAAUAAGCACCGGCUAACUACGUG